AUUGAACGCUGGCGGCAUGCCUUACACAUGCAAGUCGAACGGCAGCACGGGUGCUUGCACCUGGUGGCGAGUGGCGAACGGGUGAGUAAUACAUCGGAACAUGUCCUGUAGUGGGGGAUAGCCCGGCGAAAGCCGGAUUAAUACCGCAUACGAUCUACGGAUGACAGCGGGGGGCCUUCGGGCCUCGCGCUAUAGGGUUGGCCGAUGGCUGAUUAGCUAGUUGGUGGGGUAAAGGCCUACCAAGGCGACGAUCAGUAGCUGGUCUGAGAGGACGACCAGCCACACUGGGACUGAGACACGGCCCAGACUCCUACGGGAGGCAGCAGUGGGGAAUUUUGGACAAUGGGCGAAAGCCUGAUCCAGCAAUGCCGCGUGUGUGAAGAAGGCCUUCGGGUUGUAAAGCACUUUUGUCCGGAAAGAAAUCCUUGGCUCUAAUACAGUCGGGGGAUGACGGUACCGGAAGAAUAAGCACCGGCUAACUACGUG
Molecule: ribosomal RNA, 486 nt
Filed under: uncultured bacterium
Lineage: Bacteria
Description: partial 16S ribosomal RNA
Rfam family: Bacterial small subunit ribosomal RNA
Source: RNAcentral